Molecule: ribosomal RNA, 217 nt
Filed under: Campeiostachys nutans
Lineage: Eukaryota; Viridiplantae; Streptophyta; Magnoliopsida; Poales; Poaceae
Description: Elymus nutans partial small subunit ribosomal RNA
Rfam family: Eukaryotic small subunit ribosomal RNA (bases 47-217)
Source: RNAcentral
GGGUUCAUACGUUGGUCGGGCUUUUUGGUCUGUACUGGCGUGAUGGAUUCCUACCUUCUGAAUAACCGGAAUGUCAUUAAUUUGAUGUCGUGGAGAAUCAGGACUGUUACUUUGAAAAAAUUAGAGUGUUUAAAGCAGGCAUUAGCUUGAAUACAUUAGCAUGGAAUAAUGAGAUAGGACGUUUGAUCCUAUUUUGUUGGUUUCUAGAGUCGCCGUA